AUUGAACGCUGGCGGCAGGCUUAACACAUGCAAGUCGAGCGAGCGGCGGACGGGUGAGUAAUGUCUGGGAAACUGCCUGAUGGCGGGGGAUAACUACUGGAAACGGUAGCUAAUCCCGCAUACCAUCAGAUGUGCCCAGAUGGGAUUAGCUAGUAGGUGGGGUAAUGGCUCACCGAGGCGACGAUCCCUAGCUGGGCUGAGAGGAUGACCAGCCACACUGGAACUGAGACACGGUCCAGACGCGUACGGGAUGAAGCAGGGGGGAAUAUUGCACAAUGGGCGCAAGCCUGAUGCAGCCAUGCCGCGUGUGUGAAGAAGGCCUUCGGGUUGUAAAGGACGUUCAGCGAGGAGGCGUUACUCGCAGAAGAAGCACCGGCUAACUCCGUGCCAGCAGCCGCGGUAAUAC
Molecule: ribosomal RNA, 406 nt
Filed under: uncultured bacterium
Lineage: Bacteria
Description: partial 16S ribosomal RNA
Rfam family: Bacterial small subunit ribosomal RNA
Source: RNAcentral